GAUGAACGCUGGCGGCGUGCCUAAUACAUGCAAGUCGAGCGAACAGAUAAGGAGCUUGCUCCUUUGACGUUAGCGGCGGACGGGUGAGUAACACGUGGGGAACCUACCUAUAAGACUGGGAUAACUUCGGGAAACCGGAGCUAAUACCGGAUAACAUUUGGAACCGCAUGGUUCUAAAGUGAAAGAUGGUUUUGCUAUCACUUAUAGAUGGACCCGCGCCGUAUUAGCUAGUUGGUAAGGUAACGGCUUACCAAGGCGACGAUACGUAGCCGACCUGAGAGGGUAAUCGGCCACACUGGAACUGAAACGCGUCCCAGACUCCUACGGGAGGCAGCAGUAGGGAAUCUACCGCAAUACGAGAAGGCAUGACGGAGCACAGCCGCGUGAGUGAAGAAGGGUUUCGGCUCGUAGAACUAUGCUAUUAGGGAAGAACAAAAAUGUAAGUAACUGUGCACGACUUGACGGUACCUAAUCAGAAAGCAACGGCUAACUACGUG
This 497-nucleotide ribosomal RNA is filed under the name uncultured bacterium. RNAcentral's name for it is "partial 16S ribosomal RNA". It matches the Rfam family "Bacterial small subunit ribosomal RNA", at positions 28 to 507 of the family's 1533-position model. The record is from RNAcentral.